CGGGACGGGGUGGAGUAAUGUCUGGGAAACUAGCCUGAUGGAGGGGGAUAACUACUGGAAACGGUGGCUAAUACCGCAUAACGUCGCAAGACCAAAGAGGGGGACCUUCGGGGCCUCUUGCCAUCGGAUGUGCCCAGAUGGGAUUAGCUAGUAGGUGGGGUAACGGCUCACCUAGGCGACGAUCCCUAGCUGGUCUGAGAGGAUGACCAGCCACACUGGAACUGAGACACGGUCCAG
This 237-nucleotide ribosomal RNA is filed under the name uncultured bacterium. Its description in RNAcentral is "partial 16S ribosomal RNA". It matches the Rfam family "Bacterial small subunit ribosomal RNA", at positions 104 to 334 of the family's 1533-position model. The record is from RNAcentral.